This is a long non-coding RNA of Lycium ferocissimum, 570 nucleotides long. RefSeq lists it as uncharacterized. NCBI's taxonomy places the organism in Eukaryota, Viridiplantae, Streptophyta, Magnoliopsida, Solanales, Solanaceae. The record is from RefSeq and is a predicted model, not a curated record. The transcript is spliced from 3 exons.
CUCUUACGUCAUUUUUGCCAUUUCCGGCAAGUUUACAGGCAUACCAUGCCUUUACCAGGUCUGAUGUGACCAGAUCGAGCAAUACAUUUAAUGUUUUGCCUUUCUCUCACCAAACACUGUCCAAACAUGUUUGAGGAGCAAAAAAGGAUCUCCAAGUUCAAAUCUCGAUCGGGGUUGCACCAAAAAAAGCACGUGAAACAUCGUGGGCUAUUUGGACUGCUCUUUUGCAUUGAAACCUGUUGGGCCUAAGGCUCAACAUCACUAUCUUUGAUCAAGUCCGUGUAAUAAUGGAAAGGGAAGCUAAUAUGUAUUAAAGGCUCAGCCAUGGGUGAAAAUGGCACUGAUGGGCUUGGGUUGGCCUAUCGAUUAAAAAAAAUUACUUUCUUCUCUCAUCUAUUUCUUAUAAACCUGGCAUGUAUAUAUAUUGUAUAUGUAUCGAAUUUGUAAAUAAUGAAACCCUUGUGCAUGCUAGAACUUAGGAAAAACACAUAGUAUUUUUAGGAAGUCGCCAAACUAUUUUCAAACUCGGAUAAUGAUCAACUUUGCUUGAAAUUGAAUUUAAAAUUGGUA